RNAcentral lists this long non-coding RNA (209 nucleotides) under Elaeis guineensis (African oil palm). Its description in RNAcentral is "long non-coding RNA (EGUI_LNC052200)". The record is from RNAcentral. Lineage: Eukaryota; Viridiplantae; Streptophyta; Magnoliopsida; Arecales; Arecaceae.
GGAAAAAAGAACCAAGAAAGAAGUAGCUGGAUGGAUUCGGGCUUGGACUAGGGUUAGAAUUAGGGUUUGGUGGAGGUGAUGCAGAAGAAAGAAAAGUAGAAGACAUGUUAGAAGAAGUAGAUCGAGAGUCAUGAAAUCAGAGAAAGAAACACAAAAUUAAAGAAGUAAAAAAAUUUUGGAAGGAGAUCAAGAGAUGGUGUGGUGCAUGG